RNAcentral lists this ribosomal RNA (253 nucleotides) under uncultured bacterium. Its description in RNAcentral is "partial 16S ribosomal RNA". It matches the Rfam family "Bacterial small subunit ribosomal RNA", at positions 524 to 776 of the family's 1533-position model. The record is from RNAcentral.
UCCGUAGGGUGCGAGCGUUACUCGGAAUUACUGGGCGUAAAGCGUGCGCAGGCGGUUUUGUUAGCCAGGCGUGAAAUCCCCGGGCUUAACCUGGGAAUGGCAUUUGGGACUGCAAGGCUCGAGUGCGGCAGAGGAGACUGGAAUUCCUGGUGUAGCAGUGAAAUGCGUAGAUAUCAGGAGGAAUACCGAUGGCGAAGGCAGGUCUCUGGGCUGACACUGACGCUCAUGCACGAAAGCGUGGGGAGCAAACAGG